UCAGGCUACCUGGAUAAAGUACUAAAUAAACUUCAGUUAGUGCUAAACACGGCUGCUAGAAUCUUGACUAGAACCAAAAAAUGUGAUCAUAUUACUCCAGUGCUAGCCUCUCUACACUGGCUUCCUGUUAAGGCUAGAGCUGAUUAUAAGGUUUUACUGCUAACCUACAAAGCAUUACAUGGGCUUACUCCGACCUAUUUUUCCUAUUUGGUCCUUCCAUACAUAACUGCAUGUAUGCUACAGUCACAAGACGCAGAUCUCCUUACUGUCCCUAGAAUUUCUAAGCAAACAGCUGGAGGCAGGGCUUUCUCCUAUAGAGCUCCAUUUUUAUGGAAUGGUCUGCCUAUCCAUGUGAGAGAUGCAGACUUGGUCUCGACCUUUACGUCUUUAUUGAAGACUCAUCUCUUCAGUAGGUCCUAUGAUUGAGUGUAGACUGGUCCAGGAGUGUGAAAGUGAACAGAAAGUCACUGGAGCAACGAACCGCCUUUGCUGUCUCUGCCUGGCCCGUUCCCCUCUCUCCACUGGGAUUCUGUGCCUCAAACCCUAUUACAGGGGCUGAGUCACUGCCUUACUGAUGCUCUUCCAUGCCGUCCCUAGAAGGGGUGCGUCACUUGAGGUGGUUGAGUCACUGACGUGAUCUUCCUGUCUGGGUUGGCACCCCCCUCGGGUCCCUGCCGUGGGGAAGAUCUUUCUGGGCUAUACUCGGCCUUGUCUCAGGAUGGUAAGUUGGUGGUUGAAGAUAUCCCUCUAGUGGUGUGGGGGCUGUAGUUUGGCAAAGUGGGUGGGGUUUUAUCCUGCCUGUUUGUCCCUGUCCGGGGGUAUCGUCGGGCGGGGCCACAGUAUCUCCCGGCCACUCCUGUCUCAGCCUCCAGUACUUAUGCUGCAAUGGUUUGUGUCGGGGGGCUAGGGUCAGUCUCUUAUAUCUGGAGUAUUUCUCCUGUCUUAUCCGGUGUCCUGUGUGAAUUUAAGUAUGCUCUCUCUAAUUCUCUCUUUUCUUUCUUUCUCUCUAUUACUUUCUUUCUUUCUCUCUCUGAGGACCUGAGCCCUAGAACCAUGUCUCAGGACUACCUGGCCUGAUGACUUCUUGCUCUCCCCAGUCCACCUGGUCAUGCUGCUGAUCCAGUUUCAACUAUUCUGCCUGCGACUAUGGAACCCUGACCUGUUCACCGGACGUGCUACCUGUCCCAGACCUGCUGUUUUCAACUCUCUAGAGACAGCAGGAGUGGUAGAGAUACUCUGAAUGAUUGGCUUUGAAAAGCCAACUGACAUUUACUCCUGAGGUGCUGACCUUUUGCACCCUCUACAAGCACUGUGAUUCUUAUUAUUUGACCAUGCUGGUCAUGAACAUUUGAACAUCUUAGCCACGUUCUGUUAUAAUCUCCACCCGGCAUGGCCAGAAGAGGACUGGCCACACCUCAUAGCCUGGAUCCUCUCUAGGUUUCUUCCUAGGUUCUGGCCUUUCUAGGGAGUUUUUCCCAGCCACCGUGCUUCUACACUUGCAUUGCUUGCUGUUUGGGGUUUUAGGUUCUGUUUCUGUACAGCACUUUGUGACAUCAGCUGAUGCAAGGAGGGCUUUAAACAAUGUUUUGAUUGAUUGACGUUGAGACUGGUAUUUUGUGAGUACUAUUUAAUGAACCUGCCAGUUAGCUAGCUAGGUACUGUAACUGUUACUGUUAUUGCUUUCUGUUUGUAUGUAGCUUGCACUUCAAUGGCAUCCCUCGAGGAGAUUAUUUUAUCUUUCCAACCAGGCAAAGUACUAUGAAUGCACCACUGAUCUUGACAAGAGGCACACCAUUCAGAGAAAUUCACAAUUCAGGGCAAUCACAGUACCUACGGGGGAAGGAUGGCCAGCCACACAGGAGGGUGAUUUUUACUAAAGAGGAGAAGGAGGCCGUGCUGACCGAGAUGCAUGCUGGCCAAUUCGGAUUGAAUAGCAUGAUUGCCAAAAUCAACCUACGCUUCUUCUGACAGGGAAUUGUCAAGGUGGUGGACAGCUGGGUCAGUACGCUGUAUAGCCUGCCAGAGGUUUGAGAGGGUAAAGACUGUAGUGCCGGAGUUGAAGCCCAUCAAAGGUGUUUCACCAUGGCUCAUGAUCGGGGUGGAUCUCAUCGGACCCUUCACGAAAUCCAGUAAUGGCAACAGCUGCUGUCUGACGGCGACCGAUCACUUUACCAAGUGGGUGGAGGCAAUACCCAGUAAGGAAGAAACUGGCGAGGCCACAUCCAAGGCAAUGAUGGACAUCUUCAACACCUGAGGUCCUCUUGAGUGACUGAACGCUGGAUCAAGGUUUGGUGAAUGGACCAACGAGACCCUCAAGACUGCAAUGGGCAAGUCCUUUGGCGGGUACCAGGAAUGGUGGGAGAACAACCUGAAGGUGAAACUGAACAUCGAACGGUACAGGAGAAACAGAAGGAGAGCUACCGGAGCAGAAUCAAGAAGGGGAACAAGUGCUUCGAAAUCCGGGCGAAUUACUUGGUUUGGAAGAAGUAGAAAAGGAAGGCGAGACCUGGGAAACCUCACUGCACUUUCGCUCCUAGCUGGGGUCACCAUCUGUUAAGUGGAAGUCAACAUUCUUCUCCAGUUGGAGCAGGUGGACGGUUGACCACUGGAAGCCCUGACACACUACACUUCAGUUAAGCCCAAUAGUCAAAGUAUGUUAAGCUUUGGUUGACAUUCGAGAAAGCAGGAAAUGGUAGUUAUGCUGAGCUUAUGAAAACUCUCCAAAUGGCUUUAGGACCAUUGACUGUCCAAGACCCCCAGGAGGUACCCCAUCCACCAGAGCCAGUGAGUUCAGAUCAGUCUGAUUCUCUGUGCUCUGAGUGUGAGGGGGACCAGCUUGCGGUAGGCUAUACCAUCCAAAACUGUUUAAAAGUACAUACAGCAUCUACCAUUUAUAACACUGCACUAAUCCAUCAAAUAUUGUGUGUUUGCUUGUUUACGUCUGUCUCCUACCCUGUUCCCUUUAACUCUUCCCAACACCCAGACAUGGAUCCACCUGAUGUCCUCCAUUACCAAUCACCCUCCAACUUUUCAUUCCAUCAUCUACAGUUAACGUCAUUGUCAUUAAUUGCUAAGAAAGUUUUCUUGCUCUAUCAUACUGGGCACAGUACUGAGAUACACAGACUAAUUAAAAACACUAGCACUGCAAACACUCAGAACAAAGAGAGUAGCAGUGCCUGGACUUUGCAGUCUCCCUCUUCAAGUCCCCCAUCUGAGACUGGCUGCCUGUGGAGAACAAGUGACAGGCAGAACCUCAAACCCACACAGCAACCACCUCCUCUAUAUUCCACACACCAGAGUUCAGACUUUUAGUCUAAGAUUGUUCAAAAAAUCUGUGAAAAUAAAUGAAUGACAC
Molecule: long non-coding RNA, 3355 nt
Organism: Oncorhynchus tshawytscha (Chinook salmon)
Lineage: Eukaryota; Metazoa; Chordata; Actinopteri; Salmoniformes; Salmonidae
Source: Ensembl